Molecule: ribosomal RNA, 368 nt
Filed under: uncultured bacterium
Lineage: Bacteria
Description: bacterial SSU rRNA
Rfam family: Bacterial small subunit ribosomal RNA
Source: RNAcentral
AUUGAACGCUGGCGGCAGGCCUAACACAUGCAAGUCGAACGGUAACAGGAAGAAGCUUGCUUCUUUGCUGACGAGUGGCGGACGGGUGAGUAAUGUCUGGGAAACUGCCUGAUGGAGGGGGAUAACUACUGGAAACGGUAGCUAAUACCGCAUAACGUCGCAAGACCAAAGAGGGGGACCUUCGGGCCUCUUGCCAUCGGAUGUGCCCAGAUGGGAUUAGCUAGUAGGUGGGGUAACGGCUCACCUAGGCGACGAUCCCUAGCUGGUCUGAGAGGAUGACCAGCCACACUGGAACUGAGACACGGUCCAGAUCCUACGGGAGGCAGCAGUGGGGAAUAUUGCACAAUGGCGCAAGACCUGAUGCAGCC